GAUGAACGCUGGCGGCGUGCCUAACACAUGCAAGUCGAACGAAGCGACUGGAGGAAGUUUUUGGAUGGAAUCCGGUUGACUGAGUGGCGGACGGGUGAGUAACGCGUGGAUAACCUGCCUCACACUGGGGGAUAACAGUUAGAAAUGGCUGCUAAUACCGCAUAAGCGCACAGUACCGCAUGGUACGGUGUGAAAAACCCAGGUGGUGUGAGAUGGAUCCGCGUCUGAUUAGCCAGUUGGCGGGGUAACGGCCCACCAAAGCGACGAUCAGUAGCCGACCUGAGAGGGUGAACGGCCACAUUGGGACUGAGACACGGCCCAAACUCCUACGGGAGGCAGCAGUGGGGAAUAUUGCACAAUGGGCGGAAGCCUGAUGCAGCGACGCCGCGUGAGUGAAGAAGUAUCUCGGUAUGUAAAGCUCUAUCAGCAGGGAAGAAAAUGACGGUACCUGACUAAGAAGCCCCGGCUAACUACGUGCCAGCAGCCGCGGUAAUACGUAGGGGGCAAGCGUUAUCCGGAUUUACUGGGUGUAAAGGGAGCGUAGACGGCGACGCAAGUCUGGAGUGAAAGCCCGGGGCCCAACCCCGGGACUGCUUUGGAAACUGUGUUGCUGGAGUGCAGGAGAGGUAAGUGGAAUUCCUAGUGUAGCGGUGAAAUGCGUAGAUAUUAGGAGGAACACCAGUGGCGAAGGCGGCUUACUGGACUGUAACUGACGUUGAGGCUCGAAAGCGU
RNAcentral lists this ribosomal RNA (732 nucleotides) under uncultured Lachnospiraceae bacterium. RNAcentral describes it as "bacterial SSU rRNA". It matches the Rfam family "Bacterial small subunit ribosomal RNA", at positions 28 to 762 of the family's 1533-position model. Lineage: Bacteria; Bacillati; Bacillota; Clostridia; Lachnospirales; Lachnospiraceae. The record is from RNAcentral.